GACGAACGCUGGCGGCGUGCUUAACACAUGCAAGUCGAACGGAAAGGCCCUGCUUUUGUGGGGUGCUCGAGUGGCGAACGGGUGAGUAACACGUGAGUAACCUGCCCUUGACUUUGGGAUAACUUCAGGAAACUGGGGCUAAUACCGGAUAGGAGCUCCUGCUGCAUGGUUGGGGUUGGAAAGUUUCGGCGGUUGGGGAUGGACUCGCGGCUUAUCAGCUUGUUGGUGGGGUAGUGGCUUACCAAGGCUUUGACGGGUAGCCGGCCUGAGAGGGUGACCGGCCACAUUGGGACUGAGAUACGGCCCAGACUCCUACGGGAGGCAGCAGUGGGGAAUAUUGAACAAUGGGAGGAAGCCUGAUGCAGCAACGCCGCGUGCGGGAUGACGGCCUUCGGGUUGUAAACCGCUUUCGCCUGUGACGAAGCGUGAGUGACGGUAAUGGGUAAAGAAGCACAGGCUAACUACGUG
Molecule: ribosomal RNA, 468 nt
Filed under: uncultured bacterium
Lineage: Bacteria
Description: partial 16S ribosomal RNA
Rfam family: Bacterial small subunit ribosomal RNA
Source: RNAcentral